UAACCUGCCCAAGAGAUCGGGAUAACACCUGGAAACAGAUGCUAAUACCGGAUAACAAUAGAUGAUGCCUAUCAACUGUUUAAAAGAUGGUUCUGCUAUCACUCUUGGAUGGACCUGCGGUGCAUUAGCUAGUUGGUAGGGUAACGGCCUACCAAGGCAUGAUGCAUAGCCGAGUUGAGAGACUGAUCGGCCACAUUGGGACUGAGACACGGCCCAAACUCCUACGGGAGGCAGCAGCC
Molecule: ribosomal RNA, 239 nt
Filed under: uncultured Lactobacillus sp.
Lineage: Bacteria; Bacillati; Bacillota; Bacilli; Lactobacillales; Lactobacillaceae
Description: partial 16S ribosomal RNA
Rfam family: Bacterial small subunit ribosomal RNA
Source: RNAcentral